This is a long non-coding RNA of Homo sapiens (human), 756 nucleotides long. Ensembl annotates it as long intergenic non-protein coding RNA 2997. The record is from Ensembl. Lineage: Eukaryota; Metazoa; Chordata; Mammalia; Primates; Hominidae.
GGGUAAAAGCUGACUUGGCAGAAGCUGUCUGAUACUGUGGGUCAUCCUGACCUUGAGACUGCGCAACGUGCCCUGGCAGAUUCAGAGUGUGUCCUGCUAGAACCCAUGUGCUGGACUCAUUUCCAAGUGUGCCUGCAGCAUGCAUUCAUUACUGCAUCUGAUGGAAGCACAAAGGGAGAGACAAAGAUGCAGAGAACAAUGCUCAGAAUGGCUGUAUUGCACACAAUCCUCUUCUGAGGCCCCAUUCCUGAAAGAAAGCAGGCCAUGCUGGUCUCAGUAUUUGCAUGGAAGGAUAUCUGCCAGUGAAUGAGUCUGUUGAAAUCACCACACCAAAUUCAACAUUAAGGGCCAACCCUGACCACAGCUGAGCCGUGUGAAGAGGCUGACAGCGGCGUGGCCACCACCCAGGAUGGAGAGAAAGGCACUGUGAGGUGUUAAUGGAAAAAUCCAACUUCCUUUUCUUCCAAAGAUGAUGACUGAAACCAAAGUGGAGCUUUCCCUUGUGAAGUGAAAGCAAAGUUUUAAAAUUUUUUCUCCUCUGCAAGAAAAUAUAUUUCAGAAAAUCUCUAUCUCAAAAAUGAAGCAAUUAAGAACUGUCUGGCUGUGAGGAUCUGGCCUCAACUUGACUUAAAGCAACAACUUCAGUUACAUAUCAAGAUGUGCGUGAGAAUGAACCUGCUCUGCUCAGCCAACGUGCUGAGUGACUUGAUGUUUGUAAUAAAUAAAUAAAUAAACAACAAACAGGUUGUCAUGAAA